UACGUAGGCAGCGAGCGUUGUUCGGAGUUACUGGGCGUAAAGCGUGCGUAGGCGGUUGUCUAAGUUUGGUGUGAAAUCUCCUGGCUUAACUGGGAGGGUGCGCCGAAAACUGGGUGACUGGAGUGCCGGAGAGGUAAGCGGAAUUCCUGGUGUAGCGGUGAAAUGCGUAGAGAUCAGGAGGAACACCUGUGGUGUAGACAGCUUACUGGACGAUAACUGACGCUGAGGCACGAAAGCGUGGGUAGCAAACAGG
RNAcentral lists this ribosomal RNA (253 nucleotides) under uncultured bacterium. Its description in RNAcentral is "partial 16S ribosomal RNA". It matches the Rfam family "Bacterial small subunit ribosomal RNA", at positions 524 to 776 of the family's 1533-position model. The record is from RNAcentral.